This 232-nucleotide ribosomal RNA is filed under the name uncultured bacterium. RNAcentral's name for it is "partial 16S ribosomal RNA". It matches the Rfam family "Bacterial small subunit ribosomal RNA", at positions 99 to 334 of the family's 1533-position model. The record is from RNAcentral.
CGGACGGGUGAGUAAUGUCUGGGAAACUGCCCGAUGGAGGGGGAUAACUACUGGAAACGGUAGCUAAUACCGCAUAACGUCGCAAGACCAAAGAGGGGGACCUUCGGGCCUCUUGCCAUCGGAUGUGCCCAGAUGGGAUUAGCUAGUAGGUGGGGUAACGGCUCACCUAGGCGACGAUCCCUAGCUGGUCUGAGAGGAUGACUAGCCACACUGGAACUGAGACACGGUCCAG